AACGAACGCUGGCGGUGUGCUUAACACAUGCAAGUCGAACGGGAACGUUCUCUUCGGAGAGCUAGUAAAGUGGCGCAAGGGUGAGUAACACGUGAAUAAUCUGCCCUCGAGACUGGGAUAACUUGGCGAAAGCUAGGCUAAUACCGGAUAAGACCACGCUUCAUUAAGAAAUGUGGAAAAAAGGAGUCUCAACCUUCACUCGAGGAUGAGUUCGCGGACCAUUAGCUUGUUGGUGAGAUAAAAGCUCACCAAGGCUACGAUGGAUAGCCGGCCUGAGAGGGCGAUCGGCCACACUGGAACUGAGACACGGUCCAGACUCCUACGGGAGGCAGCAGUGGGGAAUAUUGCGCAAUGGGCGAAAGCCUGACGCAGCAACACCGUGUGAGCGAUG
Molecule: ribosomal RNA, 391 nt
Filed under: uncultured Nitrospina sp.
Lineage: Bacteria; Pseudomonadati; Nitrospinota; Nitrospinia; Nitrospinales; Nitrospinaceae
Description: bacterial SSU rRNA
Rfam family: Bacterial small subunit ribosomal RNA
Source: RNAcentral